UGUGACUCUUCUCAGCCUCCACCGCUUCCCAUCCCAUUUUCUGCCCAGGUUAGAGAGAUAGAGAGGAGCAAGAGAAAGACAAAGAUUAGACCGGGAGAGAGACCUGAGCGACGAUGAUGGAGGAACGGGUGGUGGUCUCUGUCCGGCCACCGACCGGUGGUCAUGGUCCGGUGGUUUUGACGCGUGAGAAUAUCUCUCCACCCCAAAUUCAUCUUUGAAACCCUAACACCAACCCACCAUUCAUCUCCGGCACCACCAAAUUCCACCAUAUCCGGCCACUUAUCCACACGAGAGAGGGGCAUGCGGUAUCUGAACCACCGCUCAACCUCCGCUCCGCCGCUUGACCUCUGGCCGGCGUCACACUCAUCAUCGCCUGAAUAUCCGUCUGAAGCGAAGCUUAUCCAUGGCGUCCUCCAGUCUAUAUCGGUUCAUGGGUUCAAGAAGGUAACGGCAUCAAGUUGAUUGGGUGAAUCAAAAAUUUAAGGUAUCACAUAUUUGCUGUCUUUACAGUUGAUGUUCUCAUUUUUACAUUCUUCUUCAGCAAUUGAAUAUUUCUGUAUCCUUCAUGAAUUAAAUCUUGCAUGUCAUUUGAUUGUUUUGGUGAUGCUUACAAGGUGUUCGAUGAAAUGCACGUGCUUAAUUUUUAUGUUAAUUUGUUAAUUUCUUUGUACUAAAUCAAGGUGUUGAUCAAAUUUGGGGUAUCUUCAAUGUAAAAUUAUUAAUGAAGAUUAUUGCGGGAAUUUGGCAGGAAAAGUGCAUAUCAAUAUUUAGAUAUAAUCACUAAAGCAUACACUGUAGGAUUAUUAGAAAACUAAUGUUUUCUUUAUUUAUGUGUUUCAUUUUACUGUAAGUACUUGGUGUUCCACACAUAUAUUAUAUUGAAACUAUGUUUUGGGAUGACAAGUAUGAAGUAUGGAACCCAAGGGUUAGUUCAAGAGGUAAGGAAUCUAAUGGUUCACAAGUAUAUAUUCGAACUAUGUUUUGGGAUCACAAGUUUGGAAGACAAGGAUUAUUUCAAGUAUGGAAUCCAUGGGUUGUUUCAAUUGCUUAAUCCAUGGGUGGUUUUUUUUUUUUUUUUUUUUUUUUUGUGCUUAGAUUAUCAACACAUUACAUUUCUCAUGUUUGUAGAGUUAGAAAGUCUUGAGUGUGUUUGGGAACUUUGGUUGUUUAUUCGAACUUUAAUAUCUUUGUUAUAUUUUUUACUAAUGACAUAAACUUUGCAGGGCUACAAGAUGUUAUAAUAAUAGUCAAUGGCAGGGUCAACAAAUGAAUAGUCAAAGAAGCUGGUCAUGGGCACAACUCUUUGUGGUUUAUGACCCCUUUUUAGUUCCUAAUUCAUUUCUAAUCUUUUAAUAAAAACCGUCUGUCCAAUUGUACUUCCAAAACUUUAUCAAUUUUUAAUCCUGUUUAACUACAAAUCAACCUUCAUAGGCUAUUGUUGUUUGGUUCAUGUUUUAUUAGUUACGCAUUUUGACAUUAUGGUUAUUUCAUUAAUUAACAAUUAUCAGGUUGCGUCAUGUUUUUUUGCAUUGGGGCAUUAAAAUUGUAUUUUCUUUAUUUCAUUUUAGAUGAUUCAAAUCUGGGACUACCAUUAGGUUGCAGGUGUGGAUGAAAGGGAAGGAAGAAACUAAUCAUGGCGGAGUGGUGGCAUACACGCGUGGAGCUGAAAGGUGAGGCACGCAGGCAGGCACCUACCAAUCGAGUUUCAGGCAUGU
Helianthus annuus (common sunflower) is the source of this 1715-nucleotide long non-coding RNA. RefSeq lists it as uncharacterized. The record is from RefSeq and is a predicted model, not a curated record. Lineage: Eukaryota; Viridiplantae; Streptophyta; Magnoliopsida; Asterales; Asteraceae. The transcript has 3 exons.